CCUAAUACAUGCAAGUCGAGCGGACGGAUGGGAGCUUGCUCCCUGAAGUCAGCGGCGGACGGGUGAGUAACACGUGGGCAACCUGCCUGUAAGACUGGGAUAACUCCGGGAAACCGGGGCUAAUACCGGAUAACUCUUUUCCUCACAUGAGGAAAAGCUGAAAGAUGGUUUCGGCUAUCACUUACAGAUGGGCCCGCGGCGCAUUAGCUAGUUGGUGAGGUAACGGCUCACCAAGGCCACGAUGCGUAGCCGACCUGAGAGGGUGAUCGGCCACACUGGGACUGAGACACGGCCCAGACUCCUACGGGAGGCAGCAGUAGGGAAUCUUCCGCAAUGGACGAAAGUCUGACGGAGCAACGCCGCGUGAGUGAUGAAGGUUUUCGGAUCGUAAAACUCUGUUGUCAGGGAAGAACAAGUACCGGAGUAACUGCCGGUACCUUGACGGUACCUGACCAGAAAGCCACGGCUAACUACGUGCCAGCAGCCGCGGUAAUACGUAGGUGGCAAGCGUUGUCCGGAAUUAUUGGGCGUAAAGCGCGCGCAGGCGGUUCCUUAAGUCUGAUGUGAAAGCCCCCGGCUCAACCGGGGAGGGUCAUUGGAAACUGGGGAACUUGAGUGCAGAAGAGAAGAGUGGAAUUCCACGUGUAGCGGUGAAAUGCGUAGAGAUGUGGAGGAACACCAGUGGCGAAGGCGACUCUUUGGUCUGUAACUGACGCUGAGGCGCGAAAGCGUGGGGAGCAAACAGGAUUAGAUACCCUGGUAGUCCACGCCGUAAACGAUGAGUGCUAAGUGUUAGAGGGUUUCCGCCCUUUAGUGCUGCAGCAAACGCAUUAAGCACUCCGCCUGGGGAGUACGGCCGCAAGGCUGAACUCAAAGGAAUUGACGGGGGCCCGCACAGCGGUGAGCAUGUGUUUAAUUCGAAGCACGCGAGACCUUACCAGGUCUUGACAUCUCCUGACACCCUAGAGAUAGGGCGUUCCCUUCGGGGACAGG
RNAcentral lists this ribosomal RNA (993 nucleotides) under uncultured Bacillus sp. RNAcentral's name for it is "bacterial SSU rRNA". It matches the Rfam family "Bacterial small subunit ribosomal RNA", at positions 47 to 1030 of the family's 1533-position model. The record is from RNAcentral. Lineage: Bacteria; Bacillati; Bacillota; Bacilli; Caryophanales; Bacillaceae.